CCAAGACAACUUUACGGAGUUGACGAUUGACGGAGCGAAGCGACGUCAAAGCGUUCAUUAAAGUCGAGUUGGCUUAGGGAUACGUUCGUUGGGUAGGGGAGCGUUCUGUAAGCCUGUGAAGGUGUGUCGUGAGGCAUGCUGGAGGUAUCAGAAGUGCGAAUGCUGACAUAAGUAACGAUAAAGCGGGUGAAAAGCCCGCUCGCCGGAAGACCAAGGGUUCCUGUCCAACGUUAAUCGGGGCAGGGUGAGUCGACCCCUAAGGCGAGGCCGAAAGGCGUAGUCGAUGGGAAACGGGUUAAUAUUCCCGUACUUGGUGUUACUGCGAAGGGGGGACGGAGAAGGCUAUGUUGGCCGGGCGACGGUUGUCCCGGUUUAAGCGUGUAGGUGUGUGUUCCAGGUAAAUCCGGUUCACUUUAACACUGAGGCGUGACGACGAGGCACUACGGUGCUGAAGCAACAAAUGCCCUGCUUCCAGGAAAAGCCUCUAAGCAUCAGGUAACACGAAAUCGUACCCCAAACCGACACAGGUGGUCAGGUAGAGAAUACCAAGGCGCUUGAGAGAACUCGGGUGAAGGAACUAGGCAAAAUGGUGCCGUAACUUCGGGAGAAGGC
Molecule: ribosomal RNA, 612 nt
Filed under: Salmonella enterica subsp. enterica serovar Typhimurium
Lineage: Bacteria; Pseudomonadati; Pseudomonadota; Gammaproteobacteria; Enterobacterales; Enterobacteriaceae
Description: partial 23S ribosomal RNA
Rfam family: Bacterial large subunit ribosomal RNA
Source: RNAcentral